This 506-nucleotide ribosomal RNA is filed under the name uncultured bacterium. RNAcentral's name for it is "partial 16S ribosomal RNA". It matches the Rfam family "Bacterial small subunit ribosomal RNA", at positions 29 to 523 of the family's 1533-position model. The record is from RNAcentral.
AGUGAACGCUGGCGGUAGGCCUAACACAUGCAAGUCGAACGGCAGCACAGGAGAGCUUGCUCUCUGGGUGGCGAGUGGCGGACGGGUGAGGAAUACAUCGGAAUCUACUUUUUCGUGGGGGAUAACGUAGGGAAACUUACGCUAAUACCGCAUACGACCUACGGGUGAAAGCAGGGGAUCUUCGGACCUUGCGCAAUUGAAUGAGCCGGUGUCGGAUUAGCUAGUUGGCGGGGUAAAGGCCCACCAAGGCGACGAUCCGUAGCUGGUCUGAGAGGAUGAUCAGCCACACGGGAGCGGAGAGACGGUCCAGAGUCCGACCGGAGGCUGCAGUGGGGAAUAUUGGACAAUGGGCGCAAGCCUGAUCCAGCCAUACCGCGUGGGUGAAGAAGGCCUUCGGGUUGUAAAGCCCUUUUGUUGGGAAAGAAAUCCAGCUGGUUAAUACCCGGUUGGGAUGACGGUACCCAAAGAAUAAGCACCGGCUAACUUCGUGCCAGCCGCCGCGGUAA